Molecule: ribosomal RNA, 909 nt
Filed under: uncultured Bacillus sp.
Lineage: Bacteria; Bacillati; Bacillota; Bacilli; Caryophanales; Bacillaceae
Description: bacterial SSU rRNA
Rfam family: Bacterial small subunit ribosomal RNA
Source: RNAcentral
GAUCCUGGCUCAGGACGAACGCUGGCGGCGUGCCUAAUACAUGCAAGUCGAGCGAACGGAUGGGAGCUUGCUCCCUGAAGUUAGCGGCGGACGGGUGAGUAACACGUGGGCAACCUGCCUGUAAGACCGGGAUAACUUGCGGAAACGUGAGCUAAUACCGGAUAAUCUCCGACUUCGCAUGAAGUUGGACUGAAAGACGGCGCAAGCUGUCACUUACAGAUGGGCCCGCGGCGCAUUAGCUAGUUGGUGAGGUAAUGGCUCACCAAGGCUACGAUGCGUAGCCGACCUGAGAGGGUGAUCGGCCACACUGGGACUGAGACACGGCCCAGACUCCUACGGGAGGCAGCAGUAGGGAAUCUUCCGCAAUGGACGCAAGUCUGACGGAGCAACGCCGCGUGAGCGAUGAAGGUCUUCGGAUCGUAAAGCUCUGUUGUCAGGGAAGAACAAGUAUCGGAGUAACUGCCGGUACCUUGACGGUACCUGACCAGAAAGCCACGGCUAACUACGUGCCAGCAGCCGCGGUAAUACGUAGGUGGCAAGCGUUGUCCGGAAUUAUUGGGCGUAAAGCGCGCGCAGGCGGUCCUUUAAGUCUGAUGUGAAAGCCCCCGGCUCAACCGGGGAGGGUCAUUGGAAACUGGGGGACUUGAGUGCAGAAGAGAAGAGCGGAAUUCCACGUGUAGCGGUGAAAUGCGUAGAGAUGUGGAGGAACACCAGUGGCGCAGGCGGCUCUUUGGUCUGUAACUGACGCUGAGGCGCGAAAGCGUGGGGAGCAAACAGGAUUAGAUACCCUGGUAGUCCACGCCGUAAACGAUGAGUGCUAAGUGUUAGAGGGUUUCCGCCCUUUAGUGCUGCAGCAAACGCAUUAAGCACUCCGCCUGGGGAGUACGGCCGCAAGGCUGAAACUCAAAG